RNAcentral lists this ribosomal RNA (2903 nucleotides) under Proteus mirabilis. RNAcentral's name for it is "23S ribosomal RNA". It matches the Rfam family "Bacterial large subunit ribosomal RNA". The record is from RNAcentral. Lineage: Bacteria; Pseudomonadati; Pseudomonadota; Gammaproteobacteria; Enterobacterales; Morganellaceae.
GGUUAAGCGAAUAAGCGUACACGGUGGAUGCCUAGGCAAUCAGAGGCGAUGAAGGACGUGCUAAUCUGCGAAAAGCGUCGGUAAGGUGAUAUGAACCGUUAUACCCGACGAUAUCCGAAUGGGGAAACCCAGUAUCCAAUGGAUACUAUCAUUAACUGAAUCCAUAGGUUAAUGAGGCGAACCGGGAGAACUGAAACAUCUCAGUACCCCGAGGAAAAGAAAUCAACCGAGAUUCCCCUAGUAGCGGCGAGCGAACGGGGAGCAGCCCAGAGUCUUAAUCAAUAGCAGUGUCAGGAGAACGGUCUGGAAAGUCCGGCAGUAAAGGGUGAUAGCCCCGUAUCUGAAGAUGCUGUUAUUGUGAACUCGACGAGUAGGGCGGGACACGUGUUAUCCUGUCUGAAUAUGGGGGGACCAUCCUCCAAGGCUAAAUACUCCUGAUUGACCGAUAGUGAACCAGUACCGUGAGGGAAAGGCGAAAAGAACCCCGGCGAGGGGAGUGAAAAAGAACCUGAAACCGUGUACGUACAAGCAGUAGGAGCCUCUUUAUGGGGUGACUGCGUACCUUUUGUAUAAUGGGUCAGCGACUUAUAUUCUGUAGCAAGGUUAACCGCAUAGGGGAGCCGUAGGGAAACCGAGUCUUAACUGGGCGAAUGAGUUGCAGGGUAUAGACCCGAAACCCGGUGAUCUAUCCAUGGGCAGGUUGAAGGUUGGGUAACACUAACUGGAGGACCGAACCGACUAAUGUUGAAAAAUUAGCGGAUGACUUGUGGAUGGGGGUGAAAGGCCAAUCAAACCGGGAGAUAGCUGGUUCUCCCCGAAAGCUAUUUAGGUAGCGCCUCGUGAACUCAUCUUCGGGGGUAGAGCACUGUUUCGACUAGGGGGUCAUCCCGACUUACCAACUCGAUGCAAACUGCGAAUACCGAAGAAUGUUAUCACGGGAGACACACGGCGGGUGCUAACGUCCGUCGUGAAGAGGGAAACAACCCAGACCGCCAGCUAAGGUCCCAAAGUCAUGGUUAAGUGGGAAACGAAGUGGGAAGGCUCAGACAGCCAGGAUGUUGGCUUAGAAGCAGCCAUCAUUUAAAGAAAGCGUAAUAGCUCACUGGUCGAGUCGGCCCGCGCGGAAGAUGUAACGGGGCUAAACCAUGCACCGAAGCUGCGGCAGCGACACAAAGUGUUGUUGGGUAGGGGAGCGUUCUGUAAGCCUGCGAAGGUGUACUGUGAGGUAUGCUGGAGGUAUCAGAAGUGCGAAUGCUGACAUAAGUAACGAUAAUGCGGGUGAAAAACCCGCACGCCGGAAGACCAAGGGUUCCUGUCCAACGUUAAUCGGGGCAGGGUGAGUCGACCCCUAAGGCGAGGCUGAAAAGCGUAGUCGAUGGGAAACGGGUUAAUAUUCCCGUACUGGUGGUAACUGCGAUGGGGGAACGGAGAAGGCUAGGUUGUCCGGGCGACGGUCGUCCCGGUUCAAGCAGGUAGGCAGAGUGAUUAGGCAAAUCCGGUCACUUAAUGCUGAGAUGUGAUGACGAACCACCAAGGUGGUGAAGCAAUUGAUGCCCCGCUUCCAGGAAAAGCCUCUAAGCUUCAGGUUACCAACAAUCGUACCCCAAACCGACACAGGUGGUCAGGUAGAGAAUACUCAGGCGCUUGAGAGAACUCGGGUGAAGGAACUAGGCAAAAUGGUGCCGUAACUUCGGGAGAAGGCACGCUGGCGGUAGGUAAAGUCCCUUGCGGACGGCGCCCAAGCCAGUCGAAGAUACCAGCUGGCUGCAACUGUUUAUUAAAAACACAGCACUGUGCAAACACGAAAGUGGACGUAUACGGUGUGACGCCUGCCCGGUGCUGGAAGGUUAAUUGAUGGGGUCAGCCGUAAGGCGAAGCUCCUGAUCGAAGCCCCAGUAAACGGCGGCCGUAACUAUAACGGUCCUAAGGUAGCGAAAUUCCUUGUCGGGUAAGUUCCGACCUGCACGAAUGGCGUAAUGAUGGCCAGGCUGUCUCCACCCGAGACUCAGUGAAAUUGAACUCGCUGUGAAGAUGCAGUGUACCCGCGGCAAGACGGAAAGACCCCGUGAACCUUUACUAUAGCUUGACACUGAACAUUGAGCCUUGAUGUGUAGGAUAGGUGGGAGGCUUUGAAGUGUGGACGCCAGUCUGCAUGGAGCCAACCUUGAAAUACCACCCUUUAACGUUUGAUGUUCUAACCUAGGCCCAUAAACUGGGUCGGGGACCGUGUCUGGUGGGUAGUUUGACUGGGGCGGUCUCCUCCUAAAGAGUAACGGAGGAGCACGAAGGUUGGCUAAGCAUGGUCGGACAUCAUGCGGUUAGUGCAAAGGCAUAAGCCAGCUUGACUGCGAGAGUGACGGCUCGAGCAGGUACGAAAGUAGGUCUUAGUGAUCCGGUGGUUCUGAAUGGAAGGGCCAUCGCUCAACGGAUAAAAGGUACUCCGGGGAUAACAGGCUGAUACCGCCCAAGAGUUCAUAUCGACGGCGGUGUUUGGCACCUCGAUGUCGGCUCAUCACAUCCUGGGGCUGAAGUAGGUCCCAAGGGUAUGGCUGUUCGCCAUUUAAAGUGGUACGCGAGCUGGGUUUAGAACGUCGUGAGACAGUUCGGUCCCUAUCUGCCGUGGGCGUUGGAAGAUUGAGAGGGGUUGCUCCUAGUACGAGAGGACCGGAGUGAACGCACCACUGGUGUUCGGGUUGUCAUGCCAAUGGCAUUGCCCGGUAGCUAAGUGCGGAAGAGAUAACCGCUGAAAGCAUCUAAGCGGGAAACUUGCCUCGAGAUGAGUCUUCCCUGUCGCUUUAAGUGACCUAAAGGAACGUUUAAGACUAAGACGUUGAUAGGCUGGGUGUGUAAGCGUAGCGAUACGUUGAGCUAACCAGUACUAAUGAACCGUGAGGCUUAACCUG